RNAcentral lists this unclassified non-coding RNA (244 nucleotides) under Protomerulius substuppeus. RNAcentral's name for it is "partial internal transcribed spacer region". The stretch from base 1 to 46 matches the Rfam family "Eukaryotic small subunit ribosomal RNA", at positions 1786 to 1831 of the family's 1831-position model. The record is from RNAcentral. Lineage: Eukaryota; Fungi; Basidiomycota; Agaricomycetes; Auriculariales; Hyaloriaceae.
AAGUCGUAACAAGGUUUCCGUAGGUGAACCUGCGGAAGGAUCAUUAACGAAAAACAAACCCUCGCGGCUGAGCUGUGCGGUCUUCGCACGCCUGUCCCCUGGGCUCAAUUUUCUCAACCUCACACCUGUGCACCUUCGGGCGUCCCGCCGCGGUCGCCCGCAAUUUUCACAUACAACAGUCGUCGAAUGUUAUCCACACAUGAUAAAUAGUAACAACUUUCAGCAACGGAUCUCUUGGCUCCCA